UGCCUCAGUAACGGCGAGUGAAGCGGCAAGAGCUCAAAUUUGAAAUCUGGCCCCCCCGGGGUCCGAGUUGUAAUUUGGAGAGGAUGCUUCGGGCGCCGUUCCCGUCUAAGUGCCCUGGAACGGGCUGUCGCAGAGGGUGAGAACCCCGUCUGGGACGGGCGACGGCGCCCGUGUGAAGCUCCUUCGACGAGUCGAGUUGUUUGGGAAUGCAGCUCUAAGCGGGUGGUAAAUUUCAUCUAAAGCUAAAUACUGGCCGGAGACCGAUAGCGCACAAGUAGAGUGAUCGAAAGAUGAAAAGCACUUUGAAAAGAGAGUCAAACAGCACGUGAAAUUGUUGAAAGGGAAGCGUUGGCCCCCAGACGCGCCCGGGAGGGCUCAGCCGGCACGUGUGCCGGUGUACUCCUCUCCGGGCGGGCCAGCAUCGGUUUGGGCGGUCGCUGAAAGGCCCCGGGAAUGUAGCACCCUCCGGGGUGCCUUAUAGCCCGGGGCGGCAUGCGGCCCGCCGGGACCGAGGCCCGCGCUUCGGCGAGGAUGCUGGCGUAAUGGGGGUUAACGGCCCGUCUUGAAACACGGACCAAGGAGUCUAACAUCUAUGCGAGUGUUCGGGUGUCAAACCCGUCCGCGCAGUGAAAGCGAACGCCGGUGGGAACCCCUCGGGGCGCACCAUCGACCGAUCCUGAUGUCCUCGGAUGGAUUUGAGUAAGAGCAUAGCUGUUGGGACCCGAAAGAUGGUGAACUAUGCCUGAAUAGGGCGAAGCCAGAGGAAACUCUGGUGGAGGCUCGCAGCGGUUCUGACGUGCAAAUCGAUCGUCAAAUUUGGGUAUAGGGGCGAAAGACUAAUCGAACCAUCUG
RNAcentral lists this ribosomal RNA (852 nucleotides) under Talaromyces trachyspermus. RNAcentral's name for it is "eukaryotic LSU rRNA". It matches the Rfam family "Eukaryotic large subunit ribosomal RNA", at positions 76 to 946 of the family's 3401-position model. The record is from RNAcentral. Lineage: Eukaryota; Fungi; Ascomycota; Eurotiomycetes; Eurotiales; Trichocomaceae.